AUGGUGGCUUGUGGGCGGAUGUUUCUCAGACCUAAGUUGUUGCCGCUGGACCGUGGUUACAUUCAUCCUAGCUUGGAGGAAACGGUGUGGGUGGGUAUGCAUGUGCAGGGCGAAGAAGUGGACGAAGGCCGAAGAAGCAAUCUCUGCCUCCCUAUCGCUGCGUCCUGCUCCUCAAUAUGUCACCUUAGUCAUGGCCGCCUUAUCCCUCAUGCUGCUGAUUUGAAUCUGCCCUACUCUUCUUCUCCUAGACUGCUCGAGCGCUUCAGCGGGUGCCUUGCCGACGACAGGGAAGGAAGGACCAGAAAGCCACGAAAUUGA
RNAcentral lists this ribosomal RNA (318 nucleotides) under Triticum aestivum (bread wheat). RNAcentral's name for it is "partial small subunit ribosomal RNA". Lineage: Eukaryota; Viridiplantae; Streptophyta; Magnoliopsida; Poales; Poaceae. The record is from RNAcentral.